Molecule: ribosomal RNA, 208 nt
Filed under: uncultured bacterium
Lineage: Bacteria
Description: partial 16S ribosomal RNA
Rfam family: Bacterial small subunit ribosomal RNA
Source: RNAcentral
CGUGUAGGCGGGGAAGUAAGUCGGGCGUGAAAUCCCUAGGCUCAACCUAGGAACUGCACUCGAAACUACUACUCUUGAGUACCGGAGAGGAAAGCGGAAUACCUGGUGUAGAGGUGAAAUUCGUAGAUAUCAGGUGGAACACCAGUGGCGAAGGCGGCUUUCUGGACGGUAACUGACGCUGAGACGCGAAGGCGUGGGGAGCAAAACA